Molecule: ribosomal RNA, 492 nt
Filed under: uncultured bacterium
Lineage: Bacteria
Description: partial 16S ribosomal RNA
Rfam family: Bacterial small subunit ribosomal RNA
Source: RNAcentral
AGUGAACGCUGGCGGUAGGCCUAACACAUGCAAGUCGAACGGCAGCACAGUAAGAGCUUGCUCUUACGGGUGGCGAGUGGCGGACGGGUGAGGAAUACAUCGGAAUCUACUUUUUCGUGGGGGAUAACGUAGGGAAACUUACGCUAAUACCGCAUACGACCUACGGGUGAAAGCAGGGGAUCUUCGGACCUUGCGCGAUUGAAUGAGCCGAUGUCGGAUUAGCUAGUUGGCGGGGUAAAGGCCCACCAAGGCGACGAUCCGUAGCUGGUCUGAGAGGAUGAUCAGCCACACUGGAACUGAGACACGGUCCAGACUCCUACGGGAGGCAGCAGUGGGGAAUAUUGGACAAUGGGCGCAAGCCUGAUCCAGCCAUACCGCGUGGGUGAAGAAGGUCUUCGGGUUGUAAAGCCCUUUUGUUGGGAAAGAAAAGUAGCAGGUUAAUACCCCGCUGUUCUGACGGUACCCAAAGAAUAAGCACCGGCUAACUUCGUG